RNAcentral lists this ribosomal RNA (647 nucleotides) under Salmonella enterica. RNAcentral's name for it is "partial 23S ribosomal RNA". It matches the Rfam family "Bacterial large subunit ribosomal RNA", at positions 2156 to 2802 of the family's 2925-position model. The record is from RNAcentral. RNAcentral also lists the same sequence under 1 other name. Lineage: Bacteria; Pseudomonadati; Pseudomonadota; Gammaproteobacteria; Enterobacterales; Enterobacteriaceae.
UUUGAAGCGUGGACGCCAGUCUGCGUGGAGCCGACCUUGAAAUACCACCCUUUAAUGUUUGAUGUUCUAACGUGGACCCGUUACCCGGGUUGCGGACAGUGUCUGGUGGGUAGUUUGACUGGGGCGGUCUCCUCCUAAAGAGUAACGGAGGAGCACGAAGGUUGGCUAAUCCUGGUCGGACAUCAGGAGGUUAGUGCAAUGGCAUAAGCCAGCUUGACUGCGAGCGUGACGGCGCGAGCAGGUGCGAAAGCAGGUCAUAGUGAUCCGGUGGUUCUGAAUGGAAGGGCCAUCGCUCAACGGAUAAAAGGUACUCCGGGGAUAACAGGCUGAUACCGCCCAAGAGUUCAUAUCGACGGCGGUGUUUGGCACCUCGAUGUCGGCUCAUCACAUCCUGGGGCUGAAGUAGGUCCCAAGGGUAUGGCUGUUCGCCAUUUAAAGUGGUACGCGAGCUGGGUUUAGAACGUCGUGAGACAGUUCGGUCCCUAUCUGCCGUGGGCGCUGGAGAACUGAGGGGGGCUGCUCCUAGUACGAGAGGACCGGAGUGGACGCAUCACUGGUGUUCGGGUUGUCAUGCCAAUGGCACUGCCCGGUAGCUAAAUGCGGAAGAGAUAAGUGCUGAAAGCAUCUAAGCACGAAACUUGCCCCGA